UACGUAGGGGGCAAGCGUUGUCCGGAUUUAUUGGGCGUAAAGAGCGUGUAGGCGGCCAGGUAGGUCAGCUGUGAAAACUCGAGGCUUAACCUCGAGACGCCGGCUGAAACUCUCUGGCUAGAGUCCGGAAGAGGAGAGCGGAAUUCCUGGUGUAGCGGUGAAAUGCGCAGAUAUCAGGAGGAACACCGGUGGCGAAGGCGGGUCUCUGGGCAACAACUGACGCUGAGGAGCGAAAGCGUGGGGAGCGAACAGG
This 253-nucleotide ribosomal RNA is filed under the name uncultured bacterium. RNAcentral describes it as "partial 16S ribosomal RNA". It matches the Rfam family "Bacterial small subunit ribosomal RNA", at positions 524 to 776 of the family's 1533-position model. The record is from RNAcentral.